GACAUUUCUCAGUCAGCAUUAAAUCUUUACACUUUGUGUUCUCUUGAGUAAGUUAGUAUUUUCUAAGUAAGCGCUUGGUGAAAUGUAUUUGAAUGCAGCCUUCUGUAUUGUGGCAACAUCUACAAUUGUGAUUUCACUAUAUGAAUACUGCAACAGCUGCUGAGAAAGUGACGCAUUUAGAGUUCUUUUAUGCAAAAAGCUAC
Molecule: non-coding RNA, 203 nt
Organism: Pelobates cultripes (western spadefoot toad)
Lineage: Eukaryota; Metazoa; Chordata; Amphibia; Anura; Pelobatidae
Source: the annotation of a GenBank genome assembly